Molecule: non-coding RNA, 943 nt
Organism: Equus caballus (horse)
Lineage: Eukaryota; Metazoa; Chordata; Mammalia; Perissodactyla; Equidae
Source: the annotation of a RefSeq genome assembly
AUCAGGUAAUCCUGAGGCUCAGUGAUGUCACUAUGGGAACUGCCUUCUGGGUACAAGGGACGUCCCUCCUCCUCUGCUCAUGUUCACAGCGACCGUGACCUACUGAACCUCCCAUUCCUGCCCUGACUCUGCCAUGGGCACCAGGCUCCUCAGCUUCAUGACCUUCUGUCUCCUGGGGGCAGAUCACACCGAUGCUGGAAUCUCCCAGUCCCCCAGGCACAGAGUCACAGAGAGAGGACAGGAUGCAGCUCUCAAGUGUGAUCCAAUUUCUGGUCACACCUACCUUUACUGGUACCGACAGACACUGGGGCAGAACUUGGAGUUUCUGACUUACUUUCAGGAUGAUCUUGCAUCAGACACAUCAGGGAUGCCUAAUGAUCGAUACUCUGCCAAGAGGCCCGAGGGCUCCUCCUCCACUCUGAAGAUCCAGCAUGCAGAGCAGGGGGACUCGGCCUUGUAUCUCUGUGCCAGCAGCUCAGCCACAGUGUGGCACAGUCACUUCCUUCCUCUCCACAAACCCCAUGCGCUACCUCUCCGUAUGGCUCCCAGAAUCCUGAACAAAGGAGUUGCCUGCUCUUCCCUCAUCAAGGGGAACAAGUGCUUUGGGAUCCUCUGUUCUUCUGACAGGAGGAGGUCAGGAAACAACCUUCCUCACACUGGGGCAGAUGACGUUGGGUAGCGAUAAUUUUGGCUCGUGGUUUUCUGGGGUUCUUUAUACAGUACAAGAUUCUACAGUUGCAAUUGGAUAUUAGAGUUUAGUCUCAGGUACAGUGAAAUAUUCUCUUGUAAUACUAUAAAGUUUCAGCACAUUUAUAAUAAACUUCUAUUGCUGAGUGUCAAUAGCUCAGGCCACACUAUGUCCAGGUGUGGGUUAGCCAAUACGGAACCACGUUAAGGCCAUACACAGCUACCAGUCUUCAAAAUAAAUAAAUGAGAAUCUUUA